CCUACGGGGGGCAGCAGUGGGGAAUCUUGGGCAAUGGGCGCAAGCCUGACCCAGCAACGCCGCGUGAAGGAAGAAGGCUUUCGGGUUGUAAACUUCUUUUUACAGGGAAGAGUAUAAGACGGUACCUGUCGAAUAAGCCACGGCUAACUACGUGCCAGCAGCCGCGGUAAUACGUAGGUGGCAAGCGUUGUCCGGAUUUACUGGGUGGAAAGGGCGUGUAGCCGGGUUGACAAGUCAGAUGUGAAAUCCUGCGGCUUAACCGAAGAACUGCAUUUGAAACUGUUGAUCUUGAGUACUGGAGAGGCAGACGGAAUUCCUGGUGUAGCGGUGAAAUGCGUAGAUAUUAGGAAGAACACCAGUGGCGAAGGCAGUCUGCUAAGCAGCAACUGACGGUGAGGCGCGAAAGCGUGGGGAGCAAACAGGAUUAGAUACCCCAGUAGUC
Molecule: ribosomal RNA, 442 nt
Filed under: uncultured bacterium
Lineage: Bacteria
Description: partial 16S ribosomal RNA
Rfam family: Bacterial small subunit ribosomal RNA
Source: RNAcentral